Molecule: ribosomal RNA, 216 nt
Filed under: Glomeromycotina sp.
Lineage: Eukaryota; Fungi; Glomeromycota
Description: partial small subunit ribosomal RNA
Rfam family: Eukaryotic small subunit ribosomal RNA (bases 40-216)
Source: RNAcentral
GGGUCAGUAGGUUGGUCGUGCCACCGGUACGUACUGGUCUCACUGAUUUCUCCUUCCUGAAGAACCGUAAUGCCAUUAAUUUGGUGUUGCGGGGAAACAGGACUGUUACUUUGAAAAAAUUAGAGUGUUUAAAGCAAGCUAACGCUUGGAUACAUUAGCAUGGAAUAAUGAAAUAGGACGAUCGAUCCUAUUUUGUUGGUUUCUAGGAUUGACGUA